CGUGGAGUCUCCCUGGCACGGCAGCGCUCAGAGCCGUGGCUGGCGGGCACGUCCUGGGCAGACACCCUCAGCCGCCGGGGUGGGAGCCAGCCGAGUCUCUGCCCCGGUCUCUCUUUUGCAAAAGAGUUGGAUGGAGAGACUGAAUGCUGCGAGAAAAAGCAAUGUCUGCGAAGAUGCUGGCUGACAGAAAUAAGACAACACGGGGUUGUGUCGAGGACAGCACAAGUGACUCCGGGAGGCCUGUGAGGUCUCAGCUUGGCCUGCGGACUUAGCCUGGCGGAUCUGCAGAGAAUCCCUUGGGAUCCCCCAGACCGGCACCAGAAACCUCAGACGGUGCCCACCCUGAGCAUGUGUCUCCAGCAGUCUGUAAAUUUUACCGAACGAGCAUUUGUCAUUCCAUACUUUAUCCAAAUAGAAUCAUAGAAGAAAAAAAUCUAUAAUCUCAUCCAUGAAACACAAAGCCCUCCCACAUUUUAGGAUAUUUCCUUCUAUUUUUCUCCCUUGACAAGCAACGUUGAGUGUAUUAUAUAUCAUAUACACACCCUGCAGAGACACAUACACAUAUGUAUAGACGUAUAUCUUCACCUUUAUUGAGAUGGUGAGUUACAUUGUUUAUUUUUUGUUUUCUGAGGCAAAGUCUCACUAUGUAGUUUGGGCUACCUUUGAACUCACUAUGUACCCCAGGCUGGCCUCAAACUCACAUUGAUCCUCCUGCCUCAGCCUCCCGAGUACUGGGAUUAUAGGUGUAAGCCACCACACCCAGCUAAAUUACAAUGUAGCCACCACAUCCAGCUAAAUUAUGUAUAAAAUUAAGUUACAAUGUACAAAAUUCCUGUGUUUUAAGGGGAUUAGUGUAUGAGUUUUGACAAAUGUACAUACCUUAGUAACCACUGGAGAAAGAUCUAGAAUAUUCCUUCAACUCACAGAGUUACUGUGUACCCUUAAGCACUCCCAACCCCCACCUCAGGCAGGCACUGAGCUUACUCCUCAGGUUUAAGGCUACAAUGAAUAAAGCAGCUGGGAGUGUUCUUAUACCAGUCUUUCUUAGGGAUAUGUUUUGACUUCUCUGGAUAAACACCCAGGAAUAGAAUUACCUAUCACGGGGUAGAUCUCAAUGUUUGACUUUGUAGGAACCCUCCAGACAAUUUUCCAGAGUGCCUGUGCCAUUUCCCAUUGUGUGAGGGUUCCAGUUGCCCCACAUCCUCAUCAGCACUGAGUGUUGUUGCUCUUUUUCAUAUUAGCCACUCUGGUGAGCAUGAAUUUUCAUUUCCCUGAUCAACAAUGAUGUUAGCGCUUUUAAUAGGCAAGUGUUCCCACAAUUGUAAUUGUUUGUAUUCUCUGCUUUUUAA
This 1349-nucleotide long non-coding RNA is filed under the name Chinchilla lanigera (long-tailed chinchilla). RNAcentral's name for it is "lncRNA (ENSCLAG00000023463.1)". The record is from RNAcentral. Lineage: Eukaryota; Metazoa; Chordata; Mammalia; Rodentia; Chinchillidae.